Molecule: non-coding RNA, 59 nt
Organism: Sodalis praecaptivus
Lineage: Bacteria; Pseudomonadati; Pseudomonadota; Gammaproteobacteria; Enterobacterales; Bruguierivoracaceae
Rfam family: Pseudomonas sRNA P26
About the family: P26 is conserved across many Gammaproteobacteria species and appears to be consistently located between the DNA directed RNA polymerase (beta subunit) and 50S ribosomal protein L7/L12 genes.
Source: Rfam
ACCUUCCAGGUUGCAGCCUGAUUUAGGCUGAUGGCUGGUGGCUUUUGGGUCACCAGCCU